Molecule: unclassified non-coding RNA, 520 nt
Filed under: uncultured Glomus
Lineage: Eukaryota; Fungi; Glomeromycota; Glomeromycetes; Glomerales; Glomeraceae
Description: SSU rRNA
Rfam family: Eukaryotic small subunit ribosomal RNA
Source: RNAcentral
AGCAGCCGCGGUAAUUCCAGCUCCAAUAGCGUAUAUUAAAGUUGUUGCAGUUAAAAGCUCGUAGUUGAAUUUCGGGAUCAGUUGGUCGGUCGUGCCUCGGUACGUACUGGUCAAAUUGAUUCCUACCUUCUGACGAACCACGAUGUCAUUAAUUUGGUGUCGCGGGAAAUCAGGACUGUUACUUUGAAAAAUUAGAGUGUUUAAAGCAGGCUCGCGCUUGAAUACAUUAGCAUGGAAUAAUGAAAUAGGACGUUUGAUUCUAUUUUGUUGGUUUCUAGGAUCGACGUAAUGAUUAAUAGGGAUAGUUGGGGGCAUUAGUAUUCAAUUGUCAGAGGUGAAAUUCUUGGAUUUAUUGAAGACUAACUACUGCGAAAGCAUUUGCCAAGGAUGUUUUCAUUAAUCAAGAACGAAAGUUAGGGAUCGAAGACGAUCAGAUACCGUCGUAGUCUUAACCAUAAACUAUGCCGACUAGGGAUCGGAUGAUGUUAAUUUUUAAUGACUCAUUCGGCGUCCUUACGGG